CCCUUAGAUGUCCUGGGCUGCACGCGCGCUACACUGAUGUGUCCAGUAAGCACCUAACCUAUUCCGAGAGGAGCGGGUAACCUUAGCAAAGCACAUCGUGAUGGGGAUAGAUUAUUGCAAUUAUUAGUCUUGAACGAGGAAUUCCUAGUAAGCACAAGUCAUCAGCUUGUGUUGAUUACGUCCCUGCCCUUUGUACACACCGCCCGUCGCUCCUACCGAUUGAAUGUUCCGGUGAGCUCUUCGGACUGCGCGGUCUGCAGUUUCUGCGUUCCGUGCGGAAAGUUGUGCAAACCUUAACAUUUAGAGGAAGGAGAAGUCGUAAC
RNAcentral lists this ribosomal RNA (323 nucleotides) under uncultured eukaryote. RNAcentral describes it as "partial 18S ribosomal RNA". It matches the Rfam family "Eukaryotic small subunit ribosomal RNA", at positions 1470 to 1795 of the family's 1831-position model. The record is from RNAcentral.